Molecule: ribosomal RNA, 500 nt
Filed under: uncultured bacterium
Lineage: Bacteria
Description: bacterial SSU rRNA
Rfam family: Bacterial small subunit ribosomal RNA
Source: RNAcentral
CAGGAUGAACGCUAGCGACAGGCCUAACACAUGCAAGUCGAGGGGCAGCACAAGGAGCAAUCUGAGGUGGCGACCGGCGCACGGGUGAGUAACACGUAUGCAACCUGCCUGUAAGCGGGGAAUAACCCGUUGAAAGACGGACUAAUACCGCAUAAUACUAAAUUACUGCAUGGUAAUUUAUUUAAACAUUUAUGGCUUACAGAUGGGCAUGCGCAUGAUUAGCUAGUUGGAGAGGUAACGGCUCCCCCAAGGCAACGAUCAUUAGGGGUUCUGAGAGGAAGGUCCCCCACACUGGUACUGAGACACGGACCAGACUCCUACGGGAGGCAGCAGUGAGGAAUAUUGGUCAAUGGACGAGAGUCUGAACCAGCCAAGUCGCGUGCAGGAAGAAUUGUCCUAUGGAUUGUAAACUGCUUUUGCAGGGGAAUAAAGUGCAUCACGUGUGAUGUUUUGUAUGUACUCUGCGAAUAAGGAUCGGCUAACUCCGUGCCAGCCGCCGC